RNAcentral lists this ribosomal RNA (323 nucleotides) under Aspergillus flavus. Its description in RNAcentral is "LSU rRNA". It matches the Rfam family "Eukaryotic large subunit ribosomal RNA", at positions 331 to 670 of the family's 3401-position model. Lineage: Eukaryota; Fungi; Ascomycota; Eurotiomycetes; Eurotiales; Aspergillaceae. The record is from RNAcentral.
AGACCGAUAGCGAACAAGUAGAGUGAUCGAAAGAUGAAAAGCACUUUGAAAAGAGAGUUAAAAAGCACGUGAAAUUGUUGAAAGGGAAGCGCUUGCGACCAGACUCGCCCGCGGGGUUCAGCCGGCAUUCGUGCCGGUGUACUUCCCCGCGGGCGGGCCAGCGUCGGUUUGGGCGGCCGGUCAAAGGCCCCCGGAAUGUAGUGCCCCUACGGGGGCACCUUAUAGCCGGGGGUGCAAUGCGGCCAGCCUGGACCGAGGAACGCGCUUCGGCACGGACGCUGGCAUAAUGGUUGCAAACGACCCGUCUUGAAACACGGACCAAG